GGGGAAUUUUCCGCAAUGGGCGAAAGCCUGACGGAGCAAUACCGCGUGAGGGAGGAAGGCUCUUGGGUCGUAAACCUCUUUUCUCAGGGAAGAACACAAUGACGGUACCUGAGGAAUAAGCAUCGGCUAACUCCGUGCCAGCAGCCGCGGUAAUACGGAGGAUGCAAGCGUUAUCCGGAAUUAUUGGGCGUAAAGCGUCCGCAGGUGGUUUGUCAAGUCUGCCGUCAAAGCGUGGAGCUUAACUCCACACAGGCAGUGGAAACUGAUGAGCUAGAGUUCGGUAGGGGUAGCGGGAAUUCCCAGUGUAGCGGUGAAAUGCGUAGAUAUUGGGAAGAACACCGGCGGCGAAAGCGCGCUACUGGGCCGAGACUGACACUGAGGGACGAAAGCUAGGGGAGCGAAAGGGAUUAGAUACCCCUGUAGUC
This 425-nucleotide ribosomal RNA is filed under the name uncultured cyanobacterium. RNAcentral's name for it is "bacterial SSU rRNA". It matches the Rfam family "Bacterial small subunit ribosomal RNA", at positions 356 to 795 of the family's 1533-position model. Lineage: Bacteria; Bacillati; Cyanobacteriota. The record is from RNAcentral.